GAGAGGUCAAAAGGAACUGGACUACCAUCAAACCAGGCUACUCUUUCCGCAGUUGAUGACGUAAGAUGACAAAGGAUGCAUACUUCCUUUGCGACUUCUGUCUGCUCUCUGUGUGAGAUUGAUAAUCAAGUGCUAGAUACUCCAGUGGCAAAAUAGCAUUUUUCCAACCUGGAAGAGCAAUUCAUUCACGCCCGCCUUUCCAUUACAGAGAAAAGUAGCCACACAAUGGAGUGCGGUCAUAGAAAGAGGAAGACUGAGGAAGUUAGCAAAGUUGCUGCAGCUGUGGCAUGUGUUUGGCAAUGAAUACAACUGAGAACUUGUUGGGUACCCCGAGGCGGACAGAGAGCAUUCUGGAGGAAACCCAAAUUCCACAUCAGCAGGAGUCUGGGCAGCCUCAGUGGCCUGAUCCAAGCCACAGGUUCACCAGCUUUAAACACCGCAAAGAUGAAGAAUCCCCACUCCGAGACCCUUCGUUAUUUGGAAAGCCCUGGAUCUCCAGAGAAUCCCCGUAAGGAACAACCGAAGCCAUCAAGACGACGUGGAUCUUUCUUCACGUAGUUGAGUCUGUAGGAUCAAACAAGUGAAAACCUUUUUUGGUUUUGGAUGACCACGGUAUAAUAGAGGAAGAGCUCAUCUGAGUCUGGAGGAUCCCAUCAUCAGCUACAAGUAUAGCUCCUCAAUGCCCGAGAAAGACCAGUUGGAUAUGAAUAUUAAAGGACUAUGACUGAUAAUAACAGAAGACAAAAACGGGCAUUUCUGGCUCCCCACUGAAAUUCACGGUCAAGAGGCAAGUAGUAAAAUACCUAUGUGUGUGCUUGCGCGCGUGUGUGUGAGUGUGUGUGUUUCUAUGAAAAACUUUCUCAAGGCUGACAAAUGUUCAUGCAAAACCUAUGGCACCGGCAGGGCUUGGCGUCUUUCCAACCUCCGCACCUGCACAAUUACAGCCAAGCUUCCUGAACAUUUCUUCCCUAACAGCUUGUUUUGGAUUGCGUGCAGGAGUGUGUGGACCUCUGUGUGUGUGUGUGUGUGUGUGUGUGUAUGUUGGUGGGCGAGAAUGAGUGAUCGUGGGUGAGUGGGUGAGUUGGGGGCGGGGGUAGCAUUUAAGGCAUCAUUUUUUUGAACGCUGCCUCGGUGAGUUUAUUGGAGCAAGUGGCCUACUCCCGGGGAGACCGGUGCACUCCAAAGCAGGAGAAGCCCGUUCCAGCCUGGAUGCAGCUGAAGAUGAGCAGCGGUGGUGGUAACCACUUGGCUCGCCUGAAGGGCAACGCGAGACUGUCGAAGGAGAGGAGUGUGAACAGCUGCUGUCCACUGGGGCCCCAGCGGCGGCUCCCACCGCACCACGGACCCCUCCAGGGCCAUCAAUCUCUGAGCGAGACCGGCCAGAAGCUGACGACGUCUGUUGCCUUCCCUUUCCCGCUCCCCUCUGCCUCUCCCACUUAGAAAUGGAACUCUACAAUGCUGCACAGGUGGACGUGUCAUCUGCAGGAAUGUCGGGGACCUGUCGGUGACCAAUGUGAGAGACGAAGUCUUGUGUUUCUUUGGGAGUGCCGCUCAUUUCGCGAGACAAAAAAAGA
Molecule: long non-coding RNA, 1574 nt
Organism: Ornithorhynchus anatinus (platypus)
Lineage: Eukaryota; Metazoa; Chordata; Mammalia; Monotremata; Ornithorhynchidae
Exons: 8
Source: RefSeq, a predicted model, not a curated record